This 492-nucleotide ribosomal RNA is filed under the name uncultured bacterium. Its description in RNAcentral is "partial 16S ribosomal RNA". It matches the Rfam family "Bacterial small subunit ribosomal RNA", at positions 30 to 507 of the family's 1533-position model. The record is from RNAcentral.
CGAACGCUGGCGGCGUGCUUAACACAUGCAAGUCGAACGGUGAAGCGCCUUCCUUUUUGGUGGGUGUGGAUGAGUGGCGAACGGGUGAGUAACACGUGAGUAACCUGCCCCCUUCUUCUGGAUAACCGCAUGAAAGUGUGGCUAAUACGGGAUAUUCUGGGUCUGUCGCAUGAUGGGUCUGGGAAAGAUAUUGUUUCGGUGGGGGAUGGGCUCGCGGCCUAUCAGCUUGUUGGUGGGGUGAUGGCCUACCAAGGCGGUGACGGGUAGCCGGCCUGAGAGGGUGGACGGUCACACUGGGACUGAGACACGGCCCAGACUCCUACGGGAGGCAGCAGUGGGGAAUAUUGCACACUGGGCGCAAGCCUGAUGCAGCGACGCCGCGUGAGGGAUGGAGGCCUUCGGGUUGUGAACCUCUUUCGCCAGUGAAGCAGGCCUGCCUCGUUUGUGGGUGGGUUGACGGUAGCUGGAUAAGAAGCGCCGGCUAACUACGUG